RNAcentral lists this ribosomal RNA (911 nucleotides) under uncultured archaeon. RNAcentral's name for it is "bacterial SSU rRNA". It matches the Rfam family "Archaeal small subunit ribosomal RNA", at positions 1 to 919 of the family's 1478-position model. The record is from RNAcentral.
UUCCGGUUGAUCCCGCCGGGACCUGACUGCUAUCGGAUUGAUACUAAGCCAUGCGAGUCAUUGUAGCAAUACAAGGCAGACGGCUCAGUAACGCGUAGUCAAUCUACCCUAUGGACGGGAAUAAUCUCGGGAAACUGAGAAUAAUGCCCGAUAGAACAUUAUGCCUGGAAUGGUUUAUGUUUCAAAUGAUUUAUCGCCAUAGGAUGGGACUGCGGCCUAUCAGUUUGUUGGUGAGGUAAUGGCCCACCAAGACUAUUACAGGUACGGGCUCUGAGAGGAGUGGCCCGGAGAUGGGUACUGAGACACGGACCCAGGCCCUAUGGGGCGCAGCAAGCGAGAAAACUUUGCAAUGUGCGAAAGCACGACAAGGUUAAUCCGAGUGGUUUCUGCUAAAGAAACCUUUUGUCAGUCCUAGAAACACUAACGAAUAAGGGGUGGGCAAGUUCUGGUGUCAGCCGCCGCGGUAAAACCAGCACCUCAAGUGGUCAGGAUGAUUAUUGGGCCUAAAGCAUCCGUAGCUCGUUUUGUAAGUUUUCGGUUAAAUCCAUGCGCUUAACGUAUGGGCUGCCGGGAAUACUGCAUAACUAGGAAGUGGGAGAGGUAGACGGUACUCGGUAGGAAGGGGUAAAAUCCUUUGAUCUAUUGAUGACCACCUGUGGCGAAGGCGGUCUACCAGAACACGUUCGACGGUGAGGGAUGAAAGCUGGGGGAGCAAACCGGAUUAGAUACCCGGGUAGUCCCAGCUGUAAACUAUGCAAACUCAGUGAUGCAUUGGCUUGUGGCCAAUGCAGUGCUGCAGGGAAGCCGUUAAGUUUGCCGCCUGGGAAGUACGUACGCAAGUAUGAAACUUAAAGGAAUUGGCGGGGGAGCACCACAAGGGGUGAAGCCUGCGGUUCAAUUGGAUCAACGCC